GCUAGCUUUGGUUAAUGUGUUUAAUUGUAUUAUCCACCUGAAGGAGUGCUAAUGUAAAUUCUAAGCCAAUUGUUAGUUUGGUUAAGGAACAGCUCAUAGUAGGGUAAAAUAUUUAAGGUGCAUUGCACUUAUUUUGUGUUAAUAUUAAAAUCAUUCAGCUUUAAAUUGUUUGCUUGUUAGCCACGGUUAGCAACCAACCAGUCUAGCGUGUAGUUGUUGUUGUUAUACGUCAUCUAGCGCGCGCCGGUAAGCGUCCCAUGCUGCGUUCAUGCAGGCUCGGUAAUGCUCCCGAUAUUACAUUUUUUAGUGAAUAUUGUCCGAUAAUAUCGGAGGGCCGAUAGCCCUAUACUUAAGUAAAAAUACAGAAGUAUGAUCAGAAAAAUGUACCUAAAGCAUCAAAAGUAAAAGUACUGGUCUUACAGAAAACUGGCCCCGGUAUAUUUUUUAUUUUCCAAUAUUAGAUUGUUAAUACUGAUGCUCAGUGUGUAAGUAGAUUUUCACUGUUGUGGUCGAGAUGGAGCGUGUUUGAACUACUUCAUGUACUGUUCUGUAGUUUUUAGUCCAGGGGUUCCCAACCUGGGGGCAGGCCCCUCCGUACAGUUGCAUGAUAAAUCUGAUUGGGCAAUGGGCAUGAGAUGAUUAAUGGUAAAGGAAAGAAGAAAAAACAAGGGGAUGAUUUAAAUGGAUCAUUUGACCUCUUUGAACCUCAAGGAGUUUUUCAAAUGAAACCAUAUGAGAUGUUUUGAGGGGAAAUGUCUCUUUGGUGGACCUGCAAAUGACUCAUACACAUCUGAAAGGGGCCCCAAAUAGACACUGCUUCUUCUUCUGCAAGAGGUCACAAGCCAAAAACAUGGUUUUGUGUUUAUCACUGUAUUUUAUAAGGUUAUAAUAGGCUUUUUUAAUGUAAAUUGUUAAUCUGAAAGCCAUCAGAUAAAUGCUGUGGUGUAAAAAGUACCAUACAUGCCUCUGAAAUGUUUUGGAGUAGAAGUAUAAAGUAGGAGAAAAUGAAAAUACUCAAGUAUUAAGUACCUGAAGUACCUCAAUAUUACACAUAAGUAGAGUACUUAGUUACUUUUCGCAACUGAUAGGAUGUUCCUGAUUAGGAAUAAUCAGUGUUAAAGUGCAGUAGCAGACAGAAGAAGAACUGUGUAUUUUAACCACAAGACCAAAUGCAGUUUUUCUGUGGAUCACUAAGGACUGAUCUUCUGAAGUUGGCUCAGUUCAGGUGGUACCGUGGACCUUUAUCAUGCUUACAGGUACAGGUUGUAGAGAGCUUUCAUCUGUGAUACAAAACACAAUGUUUGGUAUAAAAUGAAGUCAAGGAAUCUGAUGCAACUAUACUAUUUAUAAAAUGUAUACAAUCUUUAUUUCUGUAUAUGACCAUAGUGUGUCUAUUAAUGUGAGUGUGGACUUUAUUGCACUUUUCCUUCUCCCAGUCUCCUGUUGUGUAGAGUUUUUGUGGCAUAUUAUGUCACAUUUUGGUGUUAUUAAUGCUGCACAGUCGUUACUGAGGACCGUUCAUUUCAUAUAAAAAGUCCUGGUUUGAACAAGUUUGAACGUACAGGGUUUUUUUUUUUUUUUUUUUCUAGCUUUGCUGAUUGCUGUAAAAGUCGUUGAGGGACCUAAAGAGUUAAAAACUUCCCUCUCUCUUGAACGCUGCGUGGGCUGCAAGAUCAUUCGAGUGCAUUUUCAGCGUCCAAUCAGCUGCGCGGAGUCCACUCCGCAGUCAGCCAAUAGGGAGAAUGGGAGGCUCUAUCGAAUUUGAAUGAGAAGUGAAUCUUUAGGCGCCAUUUUCGAGUAUACAGCGAUUGCUUCAGCAGCUGCGGAGAGAGGAUGCUGCGAAUGUAGAAAGCUGUCGCUGAGACGGGGGGAAAAAUCAAGCGCUGAAAAUUAAACUGCGCUUUUAGAGAGCGGCAUCGCGUACUUCCAGUGGAAACACAGGGGAUGCUGACCCUAUUAACCCAGGACUAAUACAAGGAGAUUUUGUCAUGCCCCACAGAUCUGACAGCUAUACACCCCUGAUGUGAAGUUGUAAAUUAACCACAGCAAACUUGUGUCCGAUGUAUCAAAUGUCUAUAAUUAGGUAACUUUUUGUUACCUUGUGCAAAGCAACUCCAAAUUAAAGUGUCUUGCAUGAAUUUAA
Molecule: long non-coding RNA, 2143 nt
Organism: Dicentrarchus labrax (European seabass)
Lineage: Eukaryota; Metazoa; Chordata; Actinopteri; Moronidae
Exons: 2
Source: RefSeq, a predicted model, not a curated record